Molecule: long non-coding RNA, 479 nt
Filed under: Panax ginseng (ginseng)
Lineage: Eukaryota; Viridiplantae; Streptophyta; Magnoliopsida; Apiales; Araliaceae
Description: long non-coding RNA (PGIN_LNC002677)
Source: RNAcentral
UCAGGUUUGUGAAAAAUCAGACAUGGAAUAUGAAUCUGCCAUGAUUGCAACCCCCAGUUGCAUGUGAGAAAAAUGGAUCGAUUGUUGAAUUUAAUCAAUCACAUGACCUCUGCAAUGCCCAGAGAGAGUGAGGCUCAAAUUCACCAUGCCUGAUCGGGUUUGCUUUAGAAAAAAUACCAUCACAGCCUCUCAAAAUUAGUAUUGUAAUCAGAUCAUUUUCAGUUCCAUCACCACCACCAACCAAAAGAAAAGAAAGAGGGGGAGUUACCCAGUUGGGUUUGCUCGGAGUUUAGAUCUGAUCGGAAUUGCUCGGAGUUUAGAUCUGAGAAGAAUGGUGGGUUUAGAGAGAGAAUGGAUAUGGAUUUUUGGUAACAAAAAUCCUCCUGCUCCUGAUACUCUGCAAUGGUGAAGAAGGAUGCAGAUGGAUUUCUAAGUCAAUUGCUGAUUCCUGGAGGUGUUGACUGUAUUGAUGGGAAGAG